Molecule: ribosomal RNA, 569 nt
Filed under: uncultured bacterium
Lineage: Bacteria
Description: bacterial SSU rRNA
Rfam family: Bacterial small subunit ribosomal RNA
Source: RNAcentral
ACUCAAUAGAUACCCUGGUAGUCCACGCCGUAAACGAUGCGGACUAGGUGUCGGGGGUAUCGACCCCCUCGGCGCCGCAGCUAAACGCGUUAAGUCCGCCGCCUGGGGACGUACGGCCGCAAGGCUAAAACUCAAAGGAAUUGACGGGGGCCCGGCACAAGCAGCGGAGCGUGUGGUUCAAUUCGAUGCAACGCGAAGAACCUUACCUGGGCUUGACAUGUCCGUGGUACGACCCUGAAAGGGGAAGGACCCGCAAGGGAGCGGACACAGUUGCUGCAUGGCUGUCGUCAGCUCGUGCCGUGAGGUGUUGGGUUAAGUCCCGCAACGAGCGCAACCCUUGCCCCUAGUUACCAAUCUAGGGGGUACCGCCGAUCCAAACUCGGAGGAAGGUGGGGAUGACGUCAAGUCAGCACGGCACUUACGUCCAGGGCGACACACACGCUACAAUGGCCGGUACAACGGGUCAGCGAAGGGGUCGACCCGGGUAGCCAAUCCCCGACCAAAGCCGGGUCUCAGUUCGGAUCGCAGGCUGCAACUCGCCUGCGUGAAGGCGGAGUUGCUAGUAACCC